CACCAAUACGAUUCAAUUCAAUUUAUUCAAAUUAAAUCUUUACAAAUACAAAUACAUCCAUUUACACAAAUAUCUCACAACUGAUCUCCUCUUAUCUCUCUCACCCUCACAGCUAGCCAAACCAGCCCUCACACUCUCUCCUUAGAUCUUUUCACACACACUCUCUCUAUUCUUUCUCAUGUUGAUCCUCUCCCAUGGCCUGCCUCUGGUCUUUCCACUGGAUGCAUAUGGAGCACACAAAGCACAACACAGCAGCUCCCCUCUCUGCUCCUCUCUUCCGCACAAAACAAGCACCCUCCUCCACACACAUACAUGCAUACAUACACACUAGAGCGCACACACAGGCAUCACAACCAUGGCACAGCAACAACACCAUCACCGCUCGCCGCCGGCCUCUGCUGCUCCUUCGUGCCGCCACCGAAGCCGCUCGGCCGCUCGCCACUCCGCGCCGCCGGACCAAGCACCAUCCAGCCGUGCUGCGCCCAGUCACGCUUCAUCGCCUGUGCGUCGUGCCGCGCUCAGGCCCGCGCCGUCGUGUCGUCCCGCACCGACCCAACCGCGCCCCUCCACUGGCUCAAAGUCGAGGUUCUAAGCUAGAACGUGAGGAAGGAACUGAAGGCAAGAUCCAGCGAUGAAGAAGAACCCCGGGAAACUCAAGAGACAAGACCAAUCGUGAAAUGACCCUUCAGGAAGCCAAUUUGUUGAGUUGGAGAUCAGCCUUAACCCAGUUGAAGUCAAAGAGAAGAAGUCUAAGGUUGCGUUCGCACUCGAGGUCCCUGUGGCAUUGGGUUGCAUCAUCGUUUCGCUCCACUGUGCUAUAGGCUCUUCUGCCUGGCUGGUCUGAUGUGGAUUCUUGUCCACCAGACCAUCUUUUUAUUUUUCAGGUAUUUUAUUUUGCUUUGUUUUAUUCAAAGUAUGUAUUUGAUAUCAUUUUGUUGAAUUAUGUGCGUAUCAGCUACUUGAUCCAGGGACUGAUACAGGAGGCACAGGGGAACUCAGGUUCGGGGUCCUAACAUUGUCGUUGUCAUCUGCCAUGAAGUAAAGACUAGUGAAGUCCUUGUUCUCUUGUUUCUCAAGGGUGGUUCCUCCUCCUUCGAGCUCUCCUCCUAGCUUGAGGAAGUGUUGAUAUCGCUGAGCACCACCACAAAAGCUCGAGAUGCUGCCUUGACCGCCUUCUUGGCCAACUUUCCAUGCUCGCUGGUCAUAAGUCUUGGCGGCGACCAAAUUGAGGUUGCAAAGGGCCAGGUGCAUCCAAAGGUCCAGGUGUUAUAUACAGUCUCGAUAUGCCCUGGUUAUGUCGUGAUAUUCAUGGAUUUUUUACAUGCCAAUACCAUGGACACUGGUUUGUGAGUACCCCCUAAUAAUGAGAUUCAAAAUCUAGAUCAAGCUCGUUUUCAAAGGAUCCAAUGAAAGAAAGGGGAAUCUUGGUGCACAACGAACUAUCUAGGAGCGAUCUGCUUGGACAUUCAAGUGCACCGAGUUUCCUACCCCACCUCAGCCUGGAGAUGAGCCCACUCCACCAUCUCUAUCUAGGAAACUUGAGGGUAGCCUAGAGAAGAAGAAGAAGAAGAAGUCCAAGCCAGGGUCCAAUAAGCAGCUGCUGAAGAAGUCCAAGUCCUCUGGUAAGGUCUCAAGCGCCGGGAAGUGCGAGGUAGGAGCAAUUUGGACUAAGAAUAAACCAAAAUUCUAGCUUGGGAAGCCCUUGCCGAUGGCAGAUCCACUGUGAAGGGUGGGACAACCUUGUGUUGAGUUGCGUAAUUACUACCUGCAAGGUUGUAAAGCAAAGAAGAGUUCUGUUGUCGUCCAGUACCAAAAUCGUCACUUCUUGAAUGGAGACGACUACUUCUUCAUGGGCUUCAAUGACUUAUACGAUCUCUUCAACCUUGAUGGUUUAGAUAUAGGGUUACUACGAUGCUUUACAUUACACUUGGUGCAAUAAACGAGGAAGAAGGAGCCCUUCAGAUUCAAUGACCCUCAAAUUAUGACAAUUUCUGUGAUGAAAAAAGAUAGGGAAUCUGUCUGGGAUAUGUGGCUAGGGCAAUGAGCCACUUUUCAAAGAAGGACUACCUAAUGGCUGCUAACAACACAGGUAGCCAUUGGAUCUUACUUGCCAUUACUCCCAAGUAGAACUUAAUCUGGUACCUCGAUUCAACAAGACUAGUAGUAGGACGUAACAGUGAAUUGGGAGUACGUGACUAUACUUGGUCAAACAAAUCCUCAACGAGUAAGUUCUUCAUGGCCUAGGUUACAUAUUGAACUUCUCAAACUUUUUUCCAAAUGUUGACUAAUGGAUCACUCUUUGCAUGUAGGGCUUUUGACAUUUAUAUGCGUUGUGAUCCAAAUGAGCCCCGUAUACUGACACAUAAGACCAUCUUCAUGGUAAGUGCCAACAGACAAAUUUGUAAAUACUCUACUACUACAUCAUUUGCUUUCGAAUUGACGGUUUCUUUUCUCUCCAGUGCCACCAACAACCACCGGGUAAUACCUACGGCUUCUACGUUGCGCGUCAUAUGCUGCUAGCCAUGGCAGCAAAGGAUAUGAAAUCCCUAGAUGUAAGAUAAUGCAUAUAGUCUUUUCAUAACUACUUUCAUUUAUUUAAUAUCCGAUAAUAAAAUGAUUUUUCUCAAGUUAAUUGCAUACUUUUCCAUUACUAUUUUUAUUUAGCAAGAAUUCAGCAUACCGGACGAUAACAUCGAGAAGUAUGCACUCUUCAACAUUCGAGGACUGAUCACCUCGUUUAUAAUGACAGAAGUCAUCUCUUCGAAAGGUGAGUUCUAUUGUAGGGAGGUGGCACACUAAUGUGUAAUUUGUGGUUGCCCUUUCGACUUAUGUAAUUUCUAGUUAUCUCGAUGUACACUUGCGACUUAUGUACAUUAUUAUUUAAACUUGAGUGAUCUUGAUGUGUUAUCUGAUGUCGAUAUGGUAGAUAUACUACUGUGAUAUGUUUGAUAUGUUACCUGAUAUCGAUGUGGUCGAUAUGAUGCAUAUAUACAUUUCUUGGUGUGAUAUGUUUGCUAGAGAAGACGGCUGCCAAAUCCUGAUUUUGCUUCAGGAUGCAGCCAGAAAACAGGUACAGCUACUGCCAUUGCCGGACCACUUCUGCCUCCACGACGACAUCGUCUCCAAGACCUUUCAAGUGAACAAGAGCAAGAACUAGCUCCAAUGUUAAUUCUGUCCCCAGUUCUUCAGGUGCCAAUAGUAUUGGAUUAAUCACU
RNA transcript from Phragmites australis (common reed), 3215 nucleotides. RefSeq lists it as uncharacterized. The transcript has 5 exons. The record is from RefSeq and is a predicted model, not a curated record. NCBI's taxonomy places the organism in Eukaryota, Viridiplantae, Streptophyta, Magnoliopsida, Poales, Poaceae.